This 448-nucleotide ribosomal RNA is filed under the name uncultured bacterium. Its description in RNAcentral is "partial 16S ribosomal RNA". It matches the Rfam family "Bacterial small subunit ribosomal RNA", at positions 329 to 792 of the family's 1533-position model. The record is from RNAcentral.
AGCCAGACUCCACGGGAGGCAGCAGUGGGGGAUAUUGCACAAUGGGGGGAACCCUGAUGCAGCGACGCCGCGUGAGUGAAGAAGUAUUUCGGUAUGUAAAGCUCUCUCGGCAGGGAAGAAAAAAAUGACAGUACCUGACUAAGAAGCCCCGGCUAACUACGUGCCAGCAGCCGCGGUAAUACGUAGGGGGCAAGCGUUAUCCGGAUUUACUGGGUGUAAAGGGGGCGCAGACGGCGAUGCAAGCCAGGAGUGAAAGCCCGGGGCCCAACCCCGGGACUGCUCUUGGAACUGCGUGGCUAGAGUGCAGGAGGGGCAGGCGGAAUUCCUGGUGUAGCGGUGAAAUGCGUAGAUAUCAGGAGGAACACCGGUGGCGAAGGCGGCCUGCUGGACUGCAACUGACGUUGAGGCCCGAAAGCGUGGGGAGCAAACAGGAUUAGAUACCCGAGUA